Molecule: ribosomal RNA, 509 nt
Filed under: uncultured bacterium
Lineage: Bacteria
Description: bacterial SSU rRNA
Rfam family: Bacterial small subunit ribosomal RNA
Source: RNAcentral
AUUGAACGCUGGCGGCAGGCCUAACACAUGCAAGUCGAGCGGUAACAGGAAGAAGCUUGCUUCUUUGCUGACGAGCGGCGGACGGGUGAGUACAACUUGGGAACUUGCCUUUAGGAGGGGGACAACCACGGGAAACUGUGGCUAAUACCGCAUAAUAUCUUCGGAUCAAAGUAGGGGCUCUUCGGACCUUACGCCUAAAGAUAGGCCCAAGCGAGAUUAGCUAGUUGGUGAGGUAAAGGCUCACCAAGGCGACGAUCUCUAGCUGUUCUGAGAGGAUGAUCAGCCACACUGGGACUGAGACACGGCCCAGACUCCUACGGGAGGCAGCAGUGGGGAAUAUUGCACAAUGGGGGAAACCCUGAUGCAGCCAUGCCGCGUGUGUGAAGAAGGCCUUCGGGUUGUAAAGCACUUUCAGUGGUGAGGAAGGCCGUAAGAUUAAUACUCUUGCGGAUUGACGUUAGCCACAGAAGAAGCACCGGCUAACUCCGUGCCAGCCGCCGCGGUAACAC